RNAcentral lists this ribosomal RNA (301 nucleotides) under uncultured bacterium. Its description in RNAcentral is "partial 16S ribosomal RNA". It matches the Rfam family "Bacterial small subunit ribosomal RNA", at positions 509 to 807 of the family's 1533-position model. The record is from RNAcentral.
CAGCCGCCACGGGAAAACGUAGGGCGCAAGCGUUGUCCGGAAUUAUUGGGCGUAAAGAGCUCGUAGGCGGUCUGUCGCGUCUGGUGUGAAAUCCCGAGGCUCAACCUCGGGCUUGCAUCGGGUACGGGCAGACUAGAGUGCGGUAGGGGAGACUGGAAUUCCUGGUGUAGCGGUGGAAUGCGCAGAUAUCAGGAGGAACACCGAUGGCGAAGGCAGGUCUCUGGGCCGCAACUGACGCUGAGGUACGAAAGCAUGGGGAGCAAACAGGAUUAGAUACCCGUGUAGUCCCUGUCUCUUAUAC